GACGAACCGAGCGAACGUUGUUCGGAAUCACUGGGCUUAAAGGGCGCGUAGGCGGUCCGACAAGUCAGGGGUGAAAUCCUGCAGCUUAACUGCAGAAGUGCCUUUGAUACUGUCGGUCUGGAGGGAGAUAGGGGUGUGCGGAACUCACAGUGGAGCGGUGAAAUGCGUUGAUAUUGUGAGGAACGCCGGAGGCGAAAGCGGCGCACUGGAUCUCUUCUGACGCUGAGGCGCGAAAGCUAGGGGAGCAAACGGG
RNAcentral lists this ribosomal RNA (253 nucleotides) under uncultured bacterium. Its description in RNAcentral is "partial 16S ribosomal RNA". It matches the Rfam family "Bacterial small subunit ribosomal RNA", at positions 524 to 776 of the family's 1533-position model. The record is from RNAcentral.